This 506-nucleotide ribosomal RNA is filed under the name uncultured Glomeromycotina. RNAcentral's name for it is "SSU rRNA". It matches the Rfam family "Eukaryotic small subunit ribosomal RNA", at positions 569 to 1077 of the family's 1831-position model. Lineage: Eukaryota; Fungi; Glomeromycota. The record is from RNAcentral.
AGCAGCCGCGGUAAUUCCAGCUCCAAUAGCGUAUAUUAAAGUUGUUGCAGUUAAAAAGCUCGUAGUUGAAUUUCGGGAUCAAAUUGUUGGUCGUGCUUCGGUACGCACUGGCAUUAUUGGUUCCUACCUUCUGAAGAACCGCGAUGUCAUUAAUUUGGUGUCGUGGGGAAUCAGGACUGUUACUUUGAAAAAAUUAGAGUGUUUAAAGCAGGCGUACGCUUGAAUACAUUAGCAUGGAAUAAUGAAAUAGGACGUUUGAUUCUAUUUUGUUGGUUUCUAGGAUCGACGUAAUGAUUAAUAGGGAUAGUUGGGGGCAUUAGUAUUCAAUUGUCAGAGGUGAAAUUCUUGGAUUUAUUGAAGACUAACUACUGCGAAAGCAUUUGCCAAGGAUGUUUUCAUUAAUCAAGAACGAAAGUUAGGGGAUCGAAGACGAUCAGAUACCGUCGUAGUCUUAACCAUAAACUAUGCCGACUAGGGAUCGGAUGAUGUUAAUUUUUUAAUGACUC